This 5163-nucleotide long non-coding RNA is filed under the name Homo sapiens (human). RNAcentral's name for it is "HSALNT0094302". Lineage: Eukaryota; Metazoa; Chordata; Mammalia; Primates; Hominidae. The record is from RNAcentral.
CUUGAACCAGGGAGUUGGAGGUUGCAGUGAGCCAAGAUCGCGCCACUGCACUCCAGCCUGACAACAAAGUGAGACUCCAUCUCAAAAAAUAAAAAAAAAAGAAAGAAAGGAAGAAAGAAAGAAAGAAAGAAAAAGAACGAAAAGAAAGAAAAAAUUGGCAAAAAUUAGUUUGUUAAUAUCAAAUGUAAAGCUAUGGGAAAUAAGUAGCCCCCCCCAAAUUUAAACAUUACAUGUCUAAUGACCAGUUUUAUUUCUUAUUAUUAUACACUCAGAUUUAAUACCACGGUUAAGAACAAGAGGAAUAAACAGAGAUUUUCAUGGCAAUAUUGUUUAUUAUAAAAAAUUUGAAAACAAAUUAUAUUUCCAUCAUUGGGAAAAUAACUAAACUACAAAUAAAUUGCAUGCAUAGUAUAGCAUACACUAUAUAAGGUUAAAAAGUGACACAGAAAAGUCUCCAAAGGGAUUAUGAUGGUGAGAGAAGGCAGUAGGAAGCAAUUAUCAUAAUAAAGCAUUUAGCAUGAUGAAGUAUCCAUCAGAAACACAAACACACACAGCAACACUGUACACUUCUCUAAAUAGUUGCUUGUAUGAGUACAUGUGUAUUUAACACAUUAAAAAGCCUAAAAAUAUACCUGUUAAAUGAUAAUCUGGGAUAAAAAGAGGUAUUACAUGUAGUAGUCAAAAAGCAUUUAACCUUAACCUAUAAUAUUUCAUUUUUUAUCAGUGACAAUGCAUUCUACAUUGCUUGUGUAAUUCUAUAAAUAUUACUAUACAAACCAGUGCUAAAAUGAAUUAUAAUAUGGGAAUAAGCAUGCAUAUGGGGUCUGUAUAUGCAUGCUAGGAGGCCACUUAGUGGAAUGUAGUGGGUGCCUCUUAUUUUUGUACACAGCAUCCCUUUCUCCUUUUCCAGUUAAUAGGACAAUUAAAUUCCUUUUUAUAGUUUUAUUUUGCAUAAACUAAUUCAAAUUGGGUUUGUGUCAUUUGUAACUGAACAAGUCCUUAUUUUCUAACACAUUUUCCGUUUUGUUGUCAUUGUGUUUUAAAAAUGUAAAAACAGCACAUUACUAUGCAACUUCCAGUUUAUCUUGAAGAAAUGAGUCACCACCCAAGUAUGGAGCAUGAGCUUUAUCUCACGGGAUUGGAAAGGCAGACUGGGAAAGGAAUGACACUUUGGAAAUUUACUUUGAGAAAUGUCUGUAUUAUUAAACAGAAUAAGGUUUUCAUUUCUGUAUUCUUUCAGCAAAGCUACUAAUCUGAGCAACGUGGAAUUAAAAUUGUAGACUAAUAAAAGGGUGAAGCACAAAGGAGAUUCUUGCAAGAUUUGGAAGACCUAGGGAAGGAAGUGACAUUUUAUGGCUGACCUAUGCUGUUGCUGAUCUGCUGCAUCAUUUCAAUGGCAUAAAGCAGCAUCUAGAUCUGCGGUUGUUUAGCCUUUUCUGGAUUCAUCUUCAGUUUUUUGACCCCUGAGCCAGACUCAGAGUUCACCUCCUCCAGGAAGCCUUCCUUGAGACGCCAUUGCUCACCUGGCUCUACUUGCUUGACCAGAAGUACUUUAAAGAUUAUAUCUUUACAUUUUGUAUCUGCAGGACUUGAAAUAUAAUGAACAUUCCAGACAUAAUUGAUGAAUAAAAUAACAUCCAAUCCCUUCAUUUUAUAGAUUGGUUGAUGAAGACCUUGGACUUUUGGCCAAGAUUGAACAUCUACAGUGGAGAUUAUUUAGUGCUGUUUUCUAUUCACAGGCCUAGCCACUCCAACCUGUCUGUUGUCUUUACAUCAUAGGACUUUACCCAAGGUGCACUCUAUAAUACAUGCCAGUCCAAAUAUACAUUCUGACAGACAAUCUAGCUGCCCACAUCUGUCAGAUGGCUCUUUCUGUGACAACUGAGGAUAAGAAUUUUUUUCUUUAAGAAUUAGAGCUAAAUAUUAUGAAAUAUAAUCUAGACUUCAAGAAACUUUGACAGUUACCUGUAUCACCGUCUGUGGAUGAAUAAAAAUCUCUUUGACAUCUAAGACAAAAUGGCCAUUCACCAUCUAUCUGAAAAUUCUAGUGAGGACAGCCAUACUUUCUGAGGCAUGUUGAAUGGCUAACAUUUUAGAAUUCUUCCUUACAUUGGCUGAAAUAUGACUGAAGUUUCACAGAUUUACCCUUAUUCCUCAUGAUAAAAGUACAGAAGUUUGUUAAGUGUCCUUGGUGACAGGUUGGUCAAGAUUGGACCUUCCAUAGGAUUACUUAGUCUCACAUCCCCUCAUGGCUACGGAUCUCAUAAGGAUGGGUCUGAACAUCAAAAAUAUCACUGUUUUUAUUCAGGUACUGACAGCGCCAUAUAAAUAUGGCUUAAAGCAUGGCUAUAAGAAGAGUGAAUAUUCUAAUGACCUGUCUUGAGUGAAGCUGAUGAGACUGUAUUUUGAGUCUUACUGUACCUGUUAAGGCUAUGCAGCGUAUUUAGAGAGAAAUGUGGAAUUUGUUAUAUAAAGGUAAGUUUAAAUAGGGUGCUAAUAUCUAUGAAGGUCAACUUUGUUAAUUCAACACAAAUAAAAAUCCAAGCCAUGGUCAUUCAGCACACAUAAAGUCUAAGUAAUUUCAAAUAAAAUUACUGCUUGGCUGAAUGCUUAAGCAAUUUUGGAUUGCUGGAGUGAAUCAAAGAAUACUCAUAAUGUAAGCUCAUUAGAUUCACAGAGAGAUAUGCUGAUUUAAUUCAAGUGUUCUGCUGUCCAUUUAAACUUCACCUUCUUUUCUUACUUUGGAUUACUAGAUGUUUUUGUUAAUCUUAUUUGACAAGCUGCAUCUAGUCUUAUGAAUUUAACCUUUUUGUGAAUUGUCUUUGCUAUUAAAAAUUCUGUAACUGUCAAUCACUUGAAUCAUGUGGAGUUAUGAAAAAUGUCUGAUCCUUGAAUGUAUAUCUUUUCUCUCUCCAUCUGUAAUAUCUUACUAUGUACAGAAUAAAUUAGAAACUUAUCUGUGAUGUUAAUAUUUCUGAUAGCUUAAAUAUGUCACUUUACAUACGAUUUAUAUGUAAAAUGAUUUCUAAAUAUGAUAAAAUGUAUCCCAGACUUAAUAGAGGUUUAGCUGAUAUUUUGGCUCAGCUUUUAUUUUUUUAAUUAAUUAAUUAAUUAAUUAAUUAAUUAAUUUGUUUUUGAGACAGAGUCUUGCUCUGUCACCAGGCUGGAGUGCAGUGGCACGAUCUCAGCUCACUGCAACCUCCACCUCUUGGGUUCAAGCGAUUCCCCUGCCUUAGCCUCCCAAGUAGCUGGGAUUACAGGCAUGCACCACCACGCCUGGCAAAUUUUUUGUAUUUUAGUAGAGACGGGGUUUCACCAUGUUGGCCAAGACACUCUCGAUCUCCUGACCUCGUGAUCCACCCACCUCGGACUCUCAAAGUGCUGAGAUUACAGGCGUGAGCCACCACGCCCGGCCAGCUUUUAUUUUAUAGUUUGGUGUUUCUAUGGGAGAUUUAGGGGGAAACCUUAGUUUCUUCUUUUGUCACAUAAUGUUUCCCGCCAUAUAGGAAAAGAUAAUAUUUUAAAAAAUUACAAAAUUACCCUAAAAAGGAGUUCCCUUUUCUUAAGAUACAUACAAGUUUUCACUCAGAAAAGUUGAAUAUUUUAUAUAUAUCUCCGGGAUUUUAGAUUUUUCACUUCAUGGACUGCAUGAUAAAUCUCAUUAAAUCCAUUUGAGAAAAGGUCUGUUCCUCUGUUUAAGAAUUGUUUGAAGACUUUGCAGGAAAUGAUAGUGUGGUAGUAGAUAAAUUCUAUCCCCUGCUUCACCUCUAACCACUGCACUCUUAGACCACGGACAACUUAUAAAAAUAAACUAUCACGUUGUAUUCAAUUAUUCAGGCAAGUGGAGGUUGUAAACCACCCUCUCCCUAAUUUCUCUGCCUCCAACAUAUUAAAACUACCACAUCUUGGCUCCAAGGAUUCAUGGACUGUUGAAUUUGCCCCUACCAAGCAGAGAUGGUGGACAGCAUUAUGAAUAAUAGCUGAUUUUAUUUUAAGUGGGAAUAAAGAGAACUAUAAAAAUCCUUUAACUGUUCCCUCCUACUUAUUAGUGUCUCAAAAUUUUUGACUCAUAACACAUAGAAAAAUCACAAGAUUUGCUUCAAAACAAAAAUAUUAAAAUAUUAAAACCCCAAGUGCAUGGUUUUCUAUAACGUAAUUCAGUUAUUGUAAACUCUGCUUUGUCUCAUAGGAAUACAGUUAUUCACUAAGAACCUUCAGAAGAAAGGAAAAAUAAACAUAUAAAUGUUAAGAUUUGUCCCAUUUCAUACCUCAUCUAGCAUGGUUUUUUUUCAAAUUACUACAUACAUGGCCCUUUUUUUUGCUAGAACUCUUUCCCCUGGAGACUGAAUUGUAGAGAUAACACAGAAUGGAAUGAUUUUUAUUUUAUAAUUAAAGACAGCUUCUUGGGUGUUAUAAUAAUGGUAAAAUAUAGACUGUGUCUAAAGCAAAAUACAGCAAACAAAUGCAAUAUUGGGGCUAUCUGGGCUUAAAAUGCAUUUUCUAUUGUAAUUACCUAACCAUUUCAGCAAAAAAGGGAAUUUUAUUAAGAUUUGAGUUAACUCAUUUAAUCUGGCCAUCUAUCGUUGUCAUUUUAAAUAUCCAUUUCAUUUUGAGUAUUUGGGCACACAUUUUGUUUAUAGGUACAUGGGAAAAUCUAGCACAUAAUUAAUAUAUUAAACUGGCUGUCUUUAUAUCACAACAUAGUCUAUUUAAUCUAUUAUGUUGUUUAACCAAAACCAAACUAUAAAAAGCAAGCAUGGAUAUAGUAGAUUUUUUCUCAGAAAAAAAGCUUGACUAUUAUUUUUAUGAAAUUGCAAAGAAUUACAAUAUUCUUUCACACUGCGUUUCAAGAAAAUGAGCAAAGGAUAUUUAUAGACAUGUUUUUGAUAGAUACCCCAGUGACAACGGAAGUCACUUUUAAAUUAUAAGGUAAAAUGUGAAACUAAUAGAUAAAAUUUGACAUGUUAAGAGUUGCAUCUUCCUCAAAUAUAAAGAUAAGAACCAAUGUAGUUUGAAAAUAGCAAAAGCGCUUUCACUAUCCUAUGGACAGAUAUUUUGGAAAACCUAUUACUUUUACCAAUUAAAUUUAAAACUGCACUGCCUGGUUGUUUCUUUGUUUAUAUAUUUGUAUUCCAUCUUAUUUUAAUAAAGUUUUAAGAGGAA